UACAGAGGGGGCAAGCGUUGUUCGGAAUUACUGGGCGUAAAGGGCGCGUAGGCGGCCUGCUAAGUCGAACGUGAAAUCCCCGGGCUCAACCCGGGAACUGCGUCCGAUACUGGCAGGCUUGAAUCCGGGAGAGGGAUGUGGAAUUCCAGGUGUAGCGGUGAAAUUCGUAGAUAUUCGGCGGAACACCAGUGGCGAAGGCGACUCACUGGCCCGAUACUGACGCUGAGGCGCGAAAGCGUGGGGAGCAAACAGG
This 253-nucleotide ribosomal RNA is filed under the name uncultured bacterium. RNAcentral's name for it is "partial 16S ribosomal RNA". It matches the Rfam family "Bacterial small subunit ribosomal RNA", at positions 524 to 776 of the family's 1533-position model. The record is from RNAcentral.